This 64-nucleotide transfer RNA is filed under the name Betatropis formosana. Its description in RNAcentral is "tRNA-Trp". Lineage: Eukaryota; Metazoa; Arthropoda; Insecta; Hemiptera; Achilidae. The record is from RNAcentral.
AAGGAUUUAAGUUAAAUAAACUAUUAACCUUCAAAGUUAAAAAUAUAUAGGAAUAUAAGCCUUA